RNAcentral lists this ribosomal RNA (1056 nucleotides) under Triticum aestivum (bread wheat). RNAcentral describes it as "partial small subunit ribosomal RNA". The record is from RNAcentral. Lineage: Eukaryota; Viridiplantae; Streptophyta; Magnoliopsida; Poales; Poaceae.
AUGAUCCCCGCCCUGCUAGUUCUCGCCGGACUCAUUACCGGGGUGCGUGCGGCAGCACCUCCUCCGGUGCCGGUGCCGGUGCCGCCGAAGGUUCCCGCAGCUCCCCCGGCUGCUGCCGGGCCGCUCAAGUACCCCGCAAUCCUUGCUUUCGGUGACUCGAUUAUAGACACAGGUAACAACAACUAUAUCAGGACAAUCGUUAGGGCCAACUUCCCGCCCUACGGCAGGGACUUCCCCGGUCACAAGGCCACCGGCCGGUUCUCGGACGGUAGGAUCAGUGUUGACUUCCUAGCGGCGGCACUUGGUGUGAAGGAGAAUGUCCCGCCGUACCUGAAGAAGGACCUCACCCUCGACGACCUCAAGACCGGUGUCAGCUUCGCAUCGGCCGGGAGCGGCUACGAUAACGCCACCUGCAGGACCAUGUCGGCGCUGACGAUGGAGCAGCAGCUGAAGAUGUUCCUGGAGUACAAGGCCAAGGUGGGGACUAUCCCGAACCAGGCCCUCUACCUCCUCGUGUGGGGCAGCAACGACGUCGUGGAGCACUUCACCUUCGGAGACCCCAUGUCGGUGGAGCAGUACAGCGACUUGAUGUCCCAGCGUGCCAUCACCUUCAUCCAGACACUCAUCAGCCUCGGCGCCAAGAGGAUCGCCCUGACGGGGGCGCCGCCAGUCGGCUGCGUGCCGUCGCAGCGCAUUCUCUCUGGCGGGAUCCGGCGGCAGUGCUCCCCGGAUCGUAACCAGCUAGCGAGCAUGUUCAACAACAAGAUCAAGGGCAAGACGGCCACGCUCGGCGCCAAGCUCCCUGGCGUCACGCUCACAUUCAUCGACCUCUACGCCAUCUUUGAGGACGUGAUCCACCGGCACGAGGCGCUCGGGUUCAAGAAUGCCAGGGACUCGUGCUGCGGUUUCAUUGGGCUGGCGGUGGCCGUGCUCUGCAACUUCGCCAGCCCGGUCUGCGCCGAACCCGCCAAAUACGUCUUCUGGGACAGCUACCACCCCAGCUCCAGUGCCUACAAGGUCAUCAUCGACUUGGUCGUCGAAAAAUACUUCAGAUAG